UCCGGCCUCCGCGCUGCUGCCGCCGCAGCGGCUCCUGUCCUCCCCUCUGCUGUAGCGUCUGCGGCCCUGGGGGUGGUGGGAGCUGGCCCCGUUCGCUUCGCUUCCCCUUUGUCCCCGCCCGUCUCCGCCGGUGCCUCGGCAGGGCGGGGGCGGCUCGGAGCCCGCGGCGGGGGCGAGCUGGGGCCGCCCUCGGUCUGCGCCCGCUGGUUAAACCGCGUCGGGGCCGUGCAGGAGGGGUCACUGCCCUCCUGUUUUACCCCCGCGGGAGAGGGGUAAAAAGUCUGGCCAGGCCUUGCGACUGAGGUCAUUUUUAAAUCGCUUUUUAUUCUUUCUCAGUAUAUCGAUUGUAAAUGCAAGGUUUGUGGGAUCUGCGAACUCUUCUUGGCCUUGCCAGCAUAUAUACAUGUUAUUAGUCUGGCGUGGUACCUGCUGGCGACCUGAAAAAGAAGAAACUUUUGACACCUAAUGGUGUUGGAAGUAUGACCCUUUGGUCCUUGAGCUGCUUUCUGUACCCAUCCAGUGCUGGUGCGAAGCGUGACUCGGUUGUUUCAGCAGUGGGUUUUCUUCUCUUCCGUGAAAGAUUAAUCCAUAUCUAAGGAGUUCAAAAUUACAGGAUCCGUUUUGUUAUCUUCCUGUUACACAUUUCAUCUUGCUUUGGCUUACCCAGUUUUGAGAAUUAUUUAAAGUAAAACUUGUAAAAUGUAGUGGAUGCACAUGCAUUUUAGCAACUCAUUGCUGUCCUCAGGCUUGCUGUUUCAUCAUCAGUAUUCGUGUCAUAGUUGCUAUCUACUUAAGAUCUGAUCAAGUUGAAAACUGUGUAUUUUUUUGUGAAAAUAUAUAUUGUUUUUAAAUUGAACAUCUCAAAAGUUUCCAAGAAUGCUAUGGGUCUUUCAGGCAUUCAUAUUUUUUCUUAGCAGUUUAUGAUUGCAGGUGUAUAGCUAAUGCUCUAUCACCUUUGCUAAAGCUAAAAAGAAGAUUAUAAACAGUUGUCCAGUAUUUUCACUCUGUAUACAUAUUAAUGUAAAUUAUUUCUUCCUAGUUGUGGCAUUUUUCUUACAGGACUUGGUCAUUUGAGCUGCUUUUUUCUUAUGUAGUAGAGAACAUUUUAAAUUGAAAGCUUGGCUUAAGGAAAGCACAGAGGGUCAGGUAUUCCAGUGUUUUUAUUUUGCAGUGUCAUCUGCUGAUCUGUUGUAUUGCUGUAGUAUAUAAAAUACAUGAGUUUGCAGAACUGCAGUGUGUGUUUGUUUUUGAAUGCUUCAAAAAAGUAACUGGAGUUUACCUAAGGGACUGCCCAUGUGGUUACAGAGCUGAUGCCUCUAGCUUCACACUGAAAUCUAAAUAUUUACUUACUGCUCAUGAAUAUAAAUGGUAUAUGACUGAGGAAUGAUAAUUUUAUUUUCACUGUGGCAGACAGAAACGUUUGUGAAUAUUGAUUAUGAAAUGUACAGACCAAUUAGUUGCAAAUUUAAAAACACAGCUUUACAUGAGUUGCAAUGGUUUAACCCCAGCAGGCAACCGAGUACCACGCAGCCACUGGCUCACCCCCUCCUCCCCUGCCUAGCAGAGGGAUGGGGAGAACUGCAGGCAAAAUAAGAACGGUUUAAUAACUGAAACAGAGUAAUAAAAAAUGCUGAUAAUGCUAAUGAUGAUGAUAAUGGUAAUGAAAAGGAGAGAACUGCUCACUGGCCACUGACCAAUGCCCAGCCCAUCCUCAGACCAGCUCCCACCAGUUUAUAUACUGGGCAUGAUCUGUGGUGUGGAAUAUCCCUGUGGCCGGUUUUCUCCUGGGCACACUCUCCCAGUUUAUGUACCUCCUCACUCACAGGGCCUGGAAAACUGAGAAGUCCUUGAUUUGGGCUAAGCACUAUUUAGCAACAACUGAAGCAUCAGUGUGUUACCAACAUUAUUCUCAUACUAGAGAUGCAGCAUUGUACCAGCUUCUAAGUCAAAUUAACUCUAUCCCAGCCAAAAUCAUGACACCUCCCCCACCUCCAAAAAUAAAAGAAUUUUCUUCAAAGUAUGUGGCGUGGAGACCUAAACCAAUAUCCCACUUUGAGAAUUUCUGGAAAUUCUCCUCUAAACAUUUGUGAGUUGGGAAUGCCAUAGCAAAAAUUGGGGGCAGGAAGGCAAGGGUGAGAUAAUAAUCUGCCCAUUUUUUUAACCUGAGUAUUCAGAAGAAUUUUCCUAUGAAAUAACAUGGUAUAUUUUCCAAAAUGCUUCACAGUUUCAUAUCUCUAGAAAUGUCUUACAUCCUCAUAAGUUAACACCGUAAUAUACUUGUAUACAUGAUAAUUCCUUUAACUGAUUUUUUUUUUUUUCUAUCUCCUUUCUUUUUCCUCUUCAUUUCUCACAGACGAGGUUGUAUAGACUUGUGCACAUUCAGGUUCCUUAAAUGGUAAUUUGAAUCUGGACUGAGCUACUUAAGUGACAUAGCUUGUCAUAGCUCUACUUCCUUAGGAGCAUGGUAGGUUUGAGGCACAGUUUGUUUUUACCUCAAAGCUCUAAGCGUAGACCCCUCAGCCAAGAAACGAAAAAAGAAAAGCAUUAAGAAGUUGAUUUAUUUUUUAAGGAUUUCUGAAGCUGAUAAAGAUGAAUGAAGAUCCUAAUUGAGGAAAGAGCUUGUCAUUGCAUCACAGUUUAAAGGACAGCAAGGUUAUAAUGUAUUAAUGUGCAGAAAAUGAAAGUACAGCUUUUUAGAGAGCAGUUGCAAUCAAAAGGUGUUGGUUGUGCUGUUUUUUGUGAAGGUGGUAUGAACAAUGUAUCUGUUGCCACAAAAGUUGGACAUCCUCCUUUGCUUUAGUUUACCUGCUGAGAGUGGGGCUUUGUGUAUUAUGUAAAAGUAGGCUUGUGCACUAACCUUGCUGUUGAUGACACAGAAGGACACUGAUUCAAAUUCAUUUGCAUUUGUAAAUUGUUUGCGAUAUGUAAAAAACACAAACAAAAAAAGCAAAGUUGUCUUUCCAGCAACAAAAAUGUUCUUGCUUUGUUCACCACUGUUGUGAUUAUCAGUGUGAGUAUUGUUUUGUUAAAAGUAAAACUUUUCUAUAUUAUGAUGUAGUUUUCCUACUUACUUUUAUUUGUUUGGUGGGGUUUUUUGUUUGUUUGUUUGUUUUUUGUUUUGGUUUUUUUUUCAGUGUCUUCCUGUCUGUGCUACUGUUUUCUAUAUCUUUUUUUAGCAUUUCUAAACGUCUUGCUCAGUGGUGAAUUUCCCCUCUUAGUUCAUUGAUUCCUUUUUUUUUUUAAAUUAAAUUUAGCCAAUAGAACUGUCUUGUGUCAGAUCUAAUACUUCAGAUUUAAUAACUUUCAGUGUGUAGAGCUAAGGAUAUUUAGCUAGAUUUACAAGAAUAACAAUCACAAAAAACAGAUGCCUGGGAUUUUUUAGGCCCAUUGUGUGAGCUAUUUCUCUGAGACAUCUUUUCUGUCAGAAGAAACAUUUAGACCCUCAAAGUACAAGGAAUAAUGUUCAGCUGCUUUUUGUCAUAACAAUUUUACAUGUGUAUUUUAAUUUUUUUUAAAGUGUGCUAAUCCAGUAACAUUUUGGUAAUGUGCUUUGAUAUUAUGGAAAAAUUAUUUUCCAUUUUCUUCAUUGGUAUUGAACGAAAGGACUGUUCAUGAUGGAAAUAAAAGUGGUUCAUAUUGGGCAUCAUAUUGCAUCUCUGGCAUAUGGUUCUCCUUUCAAUUUAAUUUUUUUUGAUGAGCUGAAAUAUUUUUGGUACGUUUAUGUUUACAUUUUUUCCUUUUUCUGAUACAGUGUCCUCUGUGGAAUACUCUCAGUGGAAACAUAUGUUCAGAACUUCAAAGUAAUUACGCUAUUACUAAGAGCUUCAUAAUUAGAUUACUGAAACUAAAUGUUGAAAAAAUUUGAUUUUCUUUUAUCCAGUCAUAUCAAUUUCAUUUCAAUCUGCUUUCUGGCUGAUUGAAGAAACAUGGUAGGACAAAGUCAAAGCCUGAGCAGAAUUUCUGAAGUCUGGCAUAGACCAGCUCCUGAAGAAGAAAAGGGAGCUUAGAGCAGUGUUUAGUCUGAGGGCAAGAUUAAAAAAGAAAACAUAUAUUGCCAUUUUAACAGUAGAAUUUUAGUGGUAGGUACCUCUACUUGGCAAACUGGAUUGGGAUAGUUCAGGCAUGAGCUUUUCUCUAUGAUAACUGACCUUAUUUCUCAGAAGUAAUGGGUCCAGUUUGUGUCUAAGCUACUUCGUUUACAAAAUGUUAUCCUAAUUGCUUGUUAUCUUUCUUUAAGAGUGAAUUUUUUGUUGUGAUGAAAUGGGUGUAGCUUGUGUUUAAAAAAGCUCUUUACUGCCAGGAACAGUUCAGGGCUGCAGUCUAAGAUAUUGAUGUAGCAACAACAAAAUAACAACCCAACACCAAAAAAACUUGUUCUUUCAUUUUGCUCUAGCACAGUUCAGACACAGUACUUCGAAAAUACUUAGUCAGAACUGUAGAACUAUACCUCAUCUACCUCCUUUUUUUUUUUUUUUUUUUAGCUCAUCUGGAAAAUAUGGGGUCUUUUAAGAACAGGAGAUGUUAUCUUAAUGAUCCUCAACAAAAAUACUGAGUCUCUAGGUCUUACAAGGCCCUGGUGUAUUGGUUUGUUGACUUGCUUCAUAUUUUUUCUUCAAGCUGUAUGAAGCUAUAGCCUAACCUUUAAGUUGAUUCUUUUUUACUCACUUUACAUAAUUUUAGAAUGUUUUAUUCACACUAACUCUGUUACUGUUUGAGAUUUGGCUUUAGCCUGGUAUGUGCUUUAUGUAAGCAGUUGGUGUUCUGAGGCACAUAAAUUCAAAACUUGGUUAAUGAUGCAUGUUUUGAAUUUUUAAAUUUCUGUGGUUUGUUUUCAUAGUCUACUUUUUAUUCUACCUGCCCUUGUUAUACACAAUAAAAUAGCAGAUGAAACUGAAAAAUUUCUUUUACAGUACUUCUAACAAUUUCCAUUAGAAUUAUCUUAUUGGAAGCAAAUAUCCCAUCUGGUUUACUUUUUAACACAGCAAAACUCCAUAGUGAGCUGUGUGCUGGAGCCUGGCUGAAUUCCAUACAGCAAGGCUCUUGGCCCUAAGCAAGAUGAGCACAAUCUGUUUCCCUUAUUUCUAAUAAAGGAAAAGGAGAGUUUUUUUCAUUUGCUGCUUUGUUGCAUUAUGCUAACAUUUUAUGCCUCCCUUUCUUAGAAGAGCUGCUUUCCUGCUGUUUUCCUUUUUUUUUUUUUCAGUUAAAGGUAAAAUGAAAUGGCAUUACAGCCUUAUAAAAGUACUGAAAUAACAUUAAGACUCAAAAUAACAUUAAAACUCAAAAUUUUCAAGUAUGGCAUGGUGCUUUGGCCACAUCAAUCUCAUAAAAUACCUGAAGCUCAGGAGAAGUGCUUCUGGAGCUUUUUUCUGUUGUCUUGUUCCUCAAAUAAAUACAAGACUUAAAUAACAUAUACUAAAAUCAAUCAGAGUCAUACAGUUGAUCCUACCACUGCUCCUAAAGUUUACCUGUGCUGUCCAAAUUCAGCUUCCUCAGCCCAUAUCUUUAUGUGCCCAUUUGUAUCUGAGAAUUAUUGAGUCACAUAUACUUAACACCAGCUGAUUUUACUGUGGGUGUAUGCAACUCUGCUUAGGAGUUAUGAAGCUACGCCUCUGAAUUAGGCUCAGGUUUAAAUUUGUUGGUUUUUGUUAUAGAUAUGCAGACAAAAAUAAUUCCACAUUUAAAAAUAAGCAUCAGAUACUUUAAAAUUAUAUUUAAAACUAUACAGUGAUUGUAAUAUUACAUCAAUAAAUGAACAUUUGCUGUAUUAACCUACUGUCCCUUUUGCAGAGAUUUUGAAUUCUUGGGUAAUAUCCUGAUGGAAAGUCAUGUAACUUGCAUUCAAGUGAGCAUGCUGCUUUGGUACACUGGCUUCUUGAAAUUGUCUCAUGAAUACAUCUGUGAUUUUUUUUUUGUUCUUCCCAGUUGUGUAGAGUUUUGCAUUAAAAAUGCCAAGUAAUACUCAAAUACUACAAAUAAUCCUUGUUUGUGUUAUAAAUUCUAUUUGGUGACAGACUUAAAGUGUUUCUCAUGUUGAACUUCAUUUCUGAAAGCCUGGCAUUUCCCUACUUUCAUCUGUCAGUGAUAACAGUUGCAACAUAUGUUGUCCAUUCCUGAUUUUGUAAUUUAAGAACUUAGUAGUUCUUUUUAAUGUAAGUAAAAUAGAAGAAAUUAAGCACUCUCAGUGGGUAAUAGUAGAACUAUUGCUGGUAAUUCUGGUAAGAAGAUAUCCUUGUGUAACACUGUGUGCAAUGAGUAUUCAGUGUCAAUUCCUGUCUCUGCACUGUGUCAUUUCACAUGUGUUAUUUUAGAACUGUUCAUAUAAUCAGUUUCCUGAACUAGGAAAGCAGAGAUUGGGCUAUGAACCAAUUUAGGAUGCAAUUGCAACACAUAAAAAAAUGAGAUAGUUGAUUUCAUGUAAAUACACCUUUUGAAAUUUAGUUCAGUUCUAGACAUGAAUUAAAAUAGGCAACCCUUUGAGGACAAAGGACUGUGCACAGGGACACUUUUAAUUCUUUUCCAAUUGUGCAAAGUGGAUAUUAGGAUAAAAAGUCAAAAUGUUUGGGUUUCUUGUUCGUUUCAUCUACAUGAGACUGUUGUGCAUAUCUAUUUGCUGUGUGUUGUUGCUAAAGAAUCACUCAGUUAACACUGAUGUUAUAGUCAAAUAAGACAAUGCUGAUUUCUUCAGAAGGAAAGUUUGGAUCACUUCUAUUGGUUUCCAGCUGGAUUUAAAAAUCACCUAUCUUAGAAGAAACAAGUGACUUUUUGACAAGGCUUCUCAAAUGUUUCUCCAUUAGAUGGUAACAAUAUUCUGUUUAUCCUUGGUGUUUAUGUCAGGAAACAGAGUGAGAGGGAGAGAGAGCAGGGAGUAGUUAUUGUGUAGAUGAUACAGAAUCAGUACUCAAAGCCUGACUUUCUUUUCUUUUCCCCAACAUUAUCAGGACCAAUUAAUCUAAAAUUUAUCUUAAAAAUAUGUAGGUAAUGUGUCUAUGGAAUGAUGAUACAGCCACAAAUACAGCCUCCUUCCUUCCAUUUUGAAAGUACACCAGUGAAUCACUUAGGUCCAUGUACCUCUGAGGCUUUGCCUUUUCAGGCUUUUUAUCUGUGUUGGAAACUGCAAAUUACAACAAGCCACUCACUAAUACCUUAUUCUUAAUACCAAAAUGUGGUUGAGGGGGUGGAAAAAGCAGUUAAAACACUAACUGUGUUCUCUUGUUACUUUAAAAACUUAAAGAUGGAUUUUGAAUUUUCAUAUACCUAGCAUUUUUUGUGCAUUGGGCAUUAUUUUACUCAGAGAGCAGACUAAGCUUUUGAAGUGGACUUGUUUUAUUUCUACACCAGGAUUAAUUAAGUGUGUAAGGAUAAAGCUGAUUUUUCCAUGGUGGUUUACUGAUGCAUCAAAACUAAUUUUGUUCCAUUGAGUAAAUUACAAAAUGAGUGUCUAGUCCCUAUCCUAAUGUGUUUAUAUUGAAGGCCAUUUUUUCCUGAAUCUGUCCAUCUACUUAGCCAUGUGCAUUGAAAUCCAAAUGUUACUAAUACAUGACAUAAUUCUGUAAGAACCAUUUAUUAUGUGACCAUGAAGAAUGAAGUCUUGUGGUCUUUAUGUGGUAUUUGGUUUCAGUAACUGCUUUAUUUGUAGGUAUUUUUUACUAUAGUUAAAAGUGUUCCAAUUCCAAAUCAUAAUAUUUUUGCAUCCUAGAUAUCUUUAAUGGGAUAUACUUAGUUUAAUCCUUAAUUGAAGUAAAAUAUUCUUGUUAAAAGGGUCUGUUUCAGAGUAAUGAAAGCAUAAAUAGCUCUUAUGCUGUAUAACUAAAUGAAUGGAGAUGUGACACUUCAAAUCUUCAGAUAAACCAAAUUUCAUUAGAUAGACAAAAUUUUGCUGGUUUUACUUCUCUAUUAAAUUAGCAUCAACUUUCAGAAAGGAAUGUGGGAUUAUGGAUUUAGCCUGAAAGUUAAAAGGAUUUAAAUUCUUUAGGGCUUUUAGAGUCCCUGGGUUCAUGGUAAGUGGCUUCUCAUUUUGAUGGUAGGUAGCACUGUUUAUCUGACUUUCCCUGUUAAGUUAUUUCAGUAAGAAUGAUGCCCUAAGAGUGAUGCCCCUGUAGUGAACUAAGGAAGUUGCCAUCAAUUAUUAAUAACAUGCCGAGUUGAAUGUGAUUUUAUAGCCCCUUUAGGAGUUGGAGUAAUGUACUCUGUAAAACUAUUCAGUUCACCUGAUCUUGAUACUGGAAGCAUCAAAAACAUACUCCUACCUGUUCACACUAAAGGGGGGAAAAGGUGACUUGGGAAUGUAUCAUUUUAUGUAUCACUGUUUAGCCCUCAAUAAUUUCCAGAAACCACUAAUGUCUUAACUCCAACCGAAAACAGUAAACGCAUGAAGAAUUGUAGAAUUGGUGAAAUGCACAAAAUUUGUUGCCAUUUUAAAGACCUAAUAAUGAAUUUUUAUCUCUAGAGUAUUACUUUUGAAAUGACUGUUUAAUAAAAUGAGCUUUUUCAUACCUUUAUUAA
Long non-coding RNA from Serinus canaria (Common canary), 8502 nucleotides. RefSeq lists it as uncharacterized. NCBI's taxonomy places the organism in Eukaryota, Metazoa, Chordata, Aves, Passeriformes, Fringillidae. The transcript has 2 exons. The record is from RefSeq and is a predicted model, not a curated record.